UACGGGGGGGGCAAGCGUUGUUCGGAAUUACUGGGCGUAAAGGGCUCGUAGGCGGCCAACUAAGUCCGACGUGAAAUCCCCAGGCUUAACCUGGGAACUGCGUCGGAUACUGGAUGGCUUGAGUUUGGGAGAGGGAUGCGGAAUUCCAGGUGUAGCGGUGAAAUGCGUAGAUAUCUGGAGGAACACCGGUGGCGAAGGCGGCAUCCUGGACCAACACUGACACUGAGGAGCGAAAGCCAGGGGAGCAAACGGG
Molecule: ribosomal RNA, 253 nt
Filed under: uncultured bacterium
Lineage: Bacteria
Description: partial 16S ribosomal RNA
Rfam family: Bacterial small subunit ribosomal RNA
Source: RNAcentral